Non-coding RNA from Glutinoglossum americanum, 83 nucleotides. The record is from the annotation of a GenBank genome assembly. Lineage: Eukaryota; Fungi; Ascomycota; Geoglossomycetes; Geoglossales; Geoglossaceae.
GGUUUCGUGGUGUAGUGGUUAUCACAUUCCCUUUACAUUAAGAGUUGCGGGAAAGGUCGCCGGUUCGAUCCCGGCCGAAAUCA